UACGUAGGUGACGAGCGUUAUCCGGAAUUACUGGGCGUAAAGCGCACGCAAGCGGUUGGACAAGUCUGGCGUGAAAUCUCCUGGCUUAACUAGGAGCGGUCGCUGGAAACUGUUCGGCUUGAGGCGAUGAGAGGGGUGCAGAAUUCCCGGUGUAGUGGUGGAAUGCGUAGAGAUCGGGAGGAACACCCGUGGCGAAGGCGGCCAACUGGGAUACACCUGACGCUGAGGCACGAAGGCGUGGGGAGCGAACGGG
This 253-nucleotide ribosomal RNA is filed under the name uncultured bacterium. RNAcentral's name for it is "partial 16S ribosomal RNA". It matches the Rfam family "Bacterial small subunit ribosomal RNA", at positions 524 to 776 of the family's 1533-position model. The record is from RNAcentral.